RNAcentral lists this ribosomal RNA (460 nucleotides) under uncultured bacterium. RNAcentral's name for it is "partial 16S ribosomal RNA". It matches the Rfam family "Bacterial small subunit ribosomal RNA", at positions 338 to 795 of the family's 1533-position model. The record is from RNAcentral.
CCUACGGGAUGCAGCAGUGAGGAAUAUUGGUCAAUGGACGAGAGUCUGAACCAGCCAAGUAGCGUGCAGGAAGACUGCCCUAUGGGUUGUAAACUUCUUUUAUAAAGGAAUAAAACGAGGCACGUGUGCCUUUUUGCAAGUACUUUAUGAAUAAGGCUCGGCUAACUCCGUGCCAGCAGCCGCGGUAAUACGGAGGAUCCGAGCGUUAUCCGGAUUUAUUGGGUUUAAAGGGAGCGUAGAUGGGUUGUUAAGUCAGUUGUGAAAGUUUUGGGCUCAACCGGAAAAUUGCAAUUGAUACUGGCAGUCUUGAGUACAGUUGAGGUAGGCGGAAUUCGUGGUGUAGCGGUGAAAUGCUUAGAUAUCACGAAGAACCCCGAUUGCGAAGGCAGCUUACUAAACUGUAACUGACAUUGAGGCUCGAAAGUGUGGGUAGCAAACAGGAUUAGAUACCCUAGUAGUC